RNAcentral lists this ribosomal RNA (251 nucleotides) under uncultured prokaryote. RNAcentral describes it as "partial 16S rRNA". It matches the Rfam family "Bacterial small subunit ribosomal RNA", at positions 525 to 775 of the family's 1533-position model. The record is from RNAcentral.
ACGUAAGGGGCAAGCGUUGCUCGGAAUUACUGGGCGUAAAGGGCGUGUAGGCGGCCCAUCAAGUCGAAUGUAAAAAACCGGUGCUCAACAUCGGGGAUGCGUUCGAAACUGACGGGCUUGGAUCUGGUGGAGGGUAAUGGAACUCCCGGUGUAGCGGUGAAAUGCGUAGAUAUCGGGAAGAACACCGAAGGCGAAGGCAAUUAUCCAUGCCGAGAUUGACGCUGAGGCGCGAAAGCGUGGGGAGCAAACAG